GGGACGAGCGCCUUUAUUAGACCAAGACCAAUCGGGCCUCGGUCCGUUUCCUUUGGUGAGUCUGAAUAACCUUUUGAAGAUCGCACGGUCUCGAACUGGCGACGCAUCUUUCAAAUGUCUGCCUUAUCAACUGUCGAUGGUAGGUUAUGUGCCUACCAUGGUUGUAACGGGUAACGGAAAAUCAGGGUUCGAUUCCGGAGAGGGAGCCUGAGAAACGGCUCCUACAUCCAAGGAAGGCAGCAGGCACGCAAAUUACCCACUCCCGGCACGGGGAGGUAGUGACGAAAAAUAACGAUGCGGGACUCUUCCGAGGCCCCGUAAUCGGAAUGAGUACACUUUAAAUCCUUUAACGAGGAUCAAUUGGAAGGCAAGUCUGGUGCCAGCACCUGCGGUAAUUCCAGCUCCAAUAGCGUAUACUAAAGUUGUUGCGGCUAAAAAGCUCGUAGUUGGAUUUCAGUCGUAGGCCGGUGGUCCACCACCCGGUGGCUACUGCCUUGGCCUAGGCACCUUGCCGGCUCUCCCGCGAUGCUCUUGACCGGGUGUCGCGGGUGGCCGGAACGUUUACUUUGAAAAAAUUAAAGUGCUCCAAGCAGGCGCUACGGCCUGAACAACACAGCAUGGAAUAAUGGAACAGGACCUUGGUUCUGUUUUGUUGGUCUUCGGAACCCGAGGUA
This 674-nucleotide ribosomal RNA is filed under the name Lophoproctidae sp. Its description in RNAcentral is "SSU rRNA". It matches the Rfam family "Eukaryotic small subunit ribosomal RNA", at positions 194 to 865 of the family's 1831-position model. RNAcentral also lists the same sequence under 1 other name. The record is from RNAcentral. Lineage: Eukaryota; Metazoa; Arthropoda; Diplopoda; Polyxenida; Lophoproctidae.